RNAcentral lists this transfer RNA (73 nucleotides) under Candidatus Spechtbacteria bacterium SB0662_bin_43. RNAcentral describes it as "tRNA-Glu". It matches the Rfam family "tRNA". Rfam says of the family: Transfer RNA (tRNA) molecules are approximately 80 nucleotides in length. The record is from RNAcentral. Lineage: Bacteria; Candidatus Spechtiibacteriota.
GCCCCCAUCGUCUAGUGGCCCAGGACAUCAGCUUCUCACGCUGGAAACAGGGGUUCGAUUCCCCUUGGGGGUA